AGAGUUUGAUCCUGGCUCAGGACGAACGCUGGCGGCGCGCCUAACACAUGCAAGUCGAACGAGCGAGAGAGAGCUUGCUUUCUCGAGCGAGUGGCGAACGGGUGAGUAACGCGUGAGGAACCUGCCUCAAAGAGGGGGACAACAGUUGGAAACGACUGCUAAUACCGCAUAAGCCCACGGGUCUGCAUCGACCAGAGGGAAAAGGAGUGAUCCGCUUUGAGAUGGCCUCGCGUCCGAUUAGCUGGUUGGUGAGGUAACGGCCCACCAAGGCGACGAUCGGUAGCCGGACUGAGAGGUUGAACGGCCACAUUGGGACUGAGACACGGCCCAGACUCCUACGGGAGGCAGCAGUGGGGAAUAUUGCACAAUGGGGGAAACCCUGAUGCAGCGACGCCGCGUGGAGGAAGAAGGUCUUCGGAUUGUAAACUCCUGUUGUUGGGGAAGAUAAUGACGGUACCCAACAAGGAAGUGACGGCUAACUACGUGCCAGCAGCCGCGGUAAAACGUAGGUCACAAGCGUUGUCCGGAAUUACUGGGUGUAAAGGGAGCGCAGGCGGGAAGACAAGUUGGAAGUGAAAUCCAUGGGCUCAACCCAUGAACUGCUUUCAAAACUGUUUUUCUUGAGUAGUGCAGAGGUAGGCGGAAUUCCCCGGUGUAGCAGUGGAAUGCGUAGAUAUCGGGAGGAACACCAGUGGCGAAGGCGGCCUACUGGGCACCAACUGACGCUGAGGCUCGAAAGUGUGGGUAGCAAACAGGAUUAGAUACCCUGGUAGUCCACACCGUAAACGAUGAUUACUAGGUGUUGGAGGAUUGACCCCUUCAGUGCCGCAGUUAACACAAUAAGUAAUCCACCUGGGGAGUACGACCGCAAGGUUGAAACCCAAAGGAAUUGACGGGGGCCCGCACAAGCAGUGGAGUAUGUGGUUUAAUUCGACGCAACGCGAAGAACCUUACCAAGUCUUGACAUCCGUUGACCGCUGUAGAAAUACAGUUUUCCUUCGGGACAGCGAGACAGGUGGUGCAUGGUUGUCGUCAGCUCGUGUCGUGAGAUGUUGGGUUAAGUCCCGCAACGAGCGCAACCCUUAUGGUCAGUUACUACGCAAGAGGACUCUGGCCAGACUGCCGUUGACAAAACGGAGGAAGGUGGGGAUGACGUCAAAUCAUCAUGCCCUUUAUGACUUGGGCUACACACGUACUACAAUGGCGUUAAACAAAGAGAAGCAAGACCGCGAGGUGGAGCAAAACUCAGAAACAACGUCCCAGUUCGGACUGCAGGCUGCAACUCGCCUGCACGAAGUCGGAAUUGCUAGUAAUCGUGGAUCAGCAUGCCACGGUGAAUACGUUCCCGGGCCUUGCACUCACCGCCCGUCA
RNAcentral lists this ribosomal RNA (1371 nucleotides) under uncultured bacterium. RNAcentral describes it as "bacterial SSU rRNA". It matches the Rfam family "Bacterial small subunit ribosomal RNA". The record is from RNAcentral.